UUAGAGUUUGAUCAUGGCUCAGGAUGAACGCUAGCGGCAGGCUUAACACAUGCAAGUCGAGGGGCAGCGAGAAUAGCAAUAUUUGUCGGCGACCGGCGCACGGGUGCGUAACGCGUAUGCAACCUACCUGUAACUGGGGCAUAGCCCGAAGAAAUUCGGAUUAAUACCCCAUAAUAUUUAGAUUUGGCAUCAAGAGAUAAUUAAAACUCCGGUGAUAGCAGAUGGGCAUGCGUAAUAUUAGCUAGUUGGUAAGGUAACGGCUUACCAAGGCAUUGAUAUUUACGGGGUCUUAAAGGAUGGUCCCGCACACUGGUACUGAGACACGGACCAGACUCCUACGGGAGGCAGCAGUGAGGAAUAUUGGUCAAUGGACGCAAGUCUGAACCAGCCAUGCCGCGUGAAGGAUGACGGCCCUACGGGUUGUAAACUUCUUUUAUACAGGAAGAAAAUACCUUACGUGUAAGGUACUGACGGUACUGUAAGAAUAAGGAUCGGCUAACUCCGUGCCAGCAGCCGCGGUAAUACGGAGGAUCCAAGCGUUAUCCGGAUUUAUUAGGUUUAAAGGGUCCGCAGGCGGGCUUUUAAGUCAGUGGUGAAAUCCUACAGCUUAACUGUAGAACUGCCAUUGAUACUGAAAGUCUUGAGUGUGGUUGAGGUAGGCGGAAUGUGUUGUGUAGCGGUGAAAUGCUUAGAUAUAACACAGAACACCGAUUGCGAAGGCAGCUUACUAAACCACUACUGACGCUCAUGGACGAAAGCGCGGGGAGCGAACAGGAUUAGAUACCCUGGUAGUCCGCGCCGUAAACGAUGAUCACUCGUUGUGCACGAUACACAGUGCGUGACUGAGCGAAAGCAUUAAGUGAUCCACCUGGGGAGUACGUUCGCAAGAAUGAAACUCAAAGGAAUUGACGGGGGCCCGCACAAGCGGAGGAACAUGUGGUUUAAUUCGAUGAUACGCGAGGAACCUUACCCGGGCUUAAAUGUAGAAUGACCGUCGCCGAAAGGUGAUUUCCCUUCGGGGCAAUUUACAAGGUGCUGCAUGGCUGUCGUCAGCUCGUGCCGUGAGGUGUCGGGUUAAGUCCCAUAACGAGCGCAACCCCUAUUGUUAGUUGCCAGCGGAUAAUGCCGGGGACUCUAGCGAGACUGCCACCGUAAGGUGAGAGGAAGGUGGGGAUGACGUCAAGUCAGCACGGCCCUUAUGUCCAGGGCUACACACGUGUUACAAUGGUCGGUACAAAGGGCAGCUACCUGGUGACAGGAUGCUAAUCUCGAAAACCGAUCUCAGUUCGGAUCGAAGUCUGCAACUCGACUUCGUGAAGUUGGAUUCGCUAGUAAUCGUAUAUCAGCAACGAUACGGUGAAUACGUUCCCGGGCCUUGUACACACCGCCCGUCAAGCCAUGGAAGCUGGGGGUACCUGAAGUUCGUAACCGCAAGGAUCGACCUAGGGUAAAACUAGUGACUGGGGCUAAGUCGUAACAAGGUAGCCGAGGGCGAA
RNAcentral lists this ribosomal RNA (1496 nucleotides) under uncultured prokaryote. RNAcentral's name for it is "partial 16S ribosomal RNA". It matches the Rfam family "Bacterial small subunit ribosomal RNA". The record is from RNAcentral.